Delphinapterus leucas (beluga whale) is the source of this 4487-nucleotide non-coding RNA. NCBI's taxonomy places the organism in Eukaryota, Metazoa, Chordata, Mammalia, Artiodactyla, Monodontidae. The record is from the annotation of a RefSeq genome assembly.
GAAGUAGAUGAAACCUGUUGGUUUCAGAGAUUAAAUUCAUCCCAGGAGCAGACAGCCUUCUUCAUCUGACGCUGCCAUGAGCAACAGGCUUCUCUGCUGUUUUGUCCUUUUUCUCCUCAGAGUAGACCUCAAGGAUGCUGUAGUCACACAGUUCCCAAGACACAAGGUCUCGAAGACAGGAAAGGAAUUAACUCUACAGUGUUCACAAAAACAGAGUCAUUAUUCAAUGUACUGGUAUCGCCAAGACCCAGGAUUUGGACUGCGGCUGAUCUAUUACUCAACUAAUACCAACACCACUGAGAAAGGAGAUGUCCCUGAGGGGUAUCGUGUCUCUCGAAAUGAGUUUGAAUAUUUCCCCCUGACCCUGAAGUCUGCCAGCACCAACCAGACAUCUGUGUACUUCUGUGCCAGCAGUCUACACCGCUAUGACUAUACCUUCGGCCCAGGGACCAAGCUGACUGUUGUAGAAUCCCAGCAGACAAGGAGAGGUUUUGAAGUGAAUCUGGGAGGCUGUGCUUUGGAGACACCUACUAUUUUGGGGAAGGAAGCCGGAUCACUGUCAUAGGUAAGCUAGUCAGGGCUGGAGGGCUGGGAACCUACAGGGAGGGGCAGGGUCCAGGUGGAGCCUCCGAUAGGGGUGCCUAGGUUAAAGCAUGUUUUUAUCAGAAAAAUCUGAAUUCUCGUCUUGAUGAAUUCUUAUCUUGAUGAGAUGGACAGCCUCCAUCUCCAAUAGUUUCAUAGACUCGCUGUGUCAAGCCUGGGUCUCCCUACCGAGAGGCAAGUAGUCUCAGCUGGAAAGGGGUCUCCGUGUCCAUCUUCCGUCUCCUUGGAGGGUGCCCAUCACGGCCACGGUAGAUGGGAGGGCGUCUGGCCUUGGAUCCGUCAGUCCUGCCGUUUCUCUCCCUCGCGUAGAAAGGAGAUGGACACAGGAGAGGGGGGUGAGAAGUCUCACAGGGGGCCAAACUGGUCCUCUGACCGCAGCUUUUCAGGUUGUACAGUUGUCGCCAGCUCCACCUCUGGGGGUUAAAAUUCCGCCAAGGAAGGGGACAGGAGGGCUGCAGGUGGACGGGCGGAGGGGUGGGGAAAGAAUGGGAGGCGCAGGCACCGUCUCCCUACCGGGCUUUCGCGUCCUGUGACUAAUGAGAGCCUGUAUUUUGGCAGCGGAACGAAGCUUUCUGGGCUGGGUAAGUAACGGUCUUCCCUGGGAAUGAUGUAUUGUAAGGCUGGAGUUCUAGAAGUUCCCUUUAGAGAAGGCAGGGACUGAGGACACGGCAGAGAAAAGGCAGAGAGUGUGGGUGAGUGGAGAAGGCCCUAGGACCCCCAGGAGUUCUGGGGAGAAGCUCGUUUCUGGAAAGAAGGGCCCCAUACCGGCCGCUCUGGGGUUUGCCACGCCCGUGUUAUACUGUGGAGCAACCGGGCGCUUGUCCUGGGUAAGGCGCAAGAGCCGGGAGACGGGGCCACUGUCCCUUGGACCCGAAGUGUCUACCUCUCCAUUCAGCCCCGGUGGGAGAGGGUUGAGUAAACUCUGGUCCCUGUGGGGCUUCCGGGGAGCUGGGUCUGCCACCACUUUAGAUGAGGCUUGUUUGAUUCCUGUUUGUCCUCUAAGUCUUCGGCCCAUCAACUGCGUCCUUACUCUUCUGUCGGUGGUCCAUUCCUCCUUCUUCUGUGCGUGGAUCGGCCCCUCCUAAGUCUCUUCCUCUUUCCCCUCUUUCCCCAGAGUGUGCUUAGGCCUUUCUCCUAGUGGGAUCCCUUUGGUCCUGAGCCGUGAAUCCAGGCAGGGAAAGGUGGCCAUCUCUGCCCUCAAGGAGCUAAGACUAGCACUCUGGCUGGAGACCUCUGGGGGGUUUUCCUACAGCCUCCUGCAGCUGUGUUCCUAUAAUUCGCCCCUCCACUUUGGGACCGGCACCAGGCUCACCGUGACAGGUAUCAGACAGGGAGGGAGGUAGAAGGAGGGGGUCAGAGCUGCCCUUUCCUUCCAGAGCAUCUCCAGCUUGCUCCGCUGUGUUUGAUGCAGCUCUUCAGCCGAGGGCUCAUGGGGGCUGUGCUUCUGUGCUUCGUCUCCCGGCUUUCUCGUUCUCCUUCUCGUUGUUCUGCAAGACUCCCCUCCUCUCUCCUGAUUUAGCGGGUGUGCUGCUUUACUUUCCCCUUCUUAUCUGAUCUUCUCCAUUUCCCACCCUCCUUCUAACUCUGAUCCUGCACUGGUGACCCCGUUUUGGGGAACAGCUCCGUCUUCUAUGUUAAAAUCCACCCCCAACACCUCCCUCCAGCUCAGAGUGCUGUCCUCGCCUUCCUUGAGUCCUUCUCUGUCUCCAAGAUCCAUGUGUGUCUUCCUGAGGUGGUUUAAGGACUCAGGAGGCCAUAGGGGAGCAGCUUGGUGAGACUGAGGGCGCUUGAGGGGGACUCCUGAGCCCUGAAGGCCGAGGUCCGUGUCACGGCAUCAUGUGAGCUUGCAGGGGUGGCCCUGGGGAACACUGCGCUUGCUGGGGGUCAGAGGAGGUAGGUCAGAAUAAGCUGUUACAACUGGAAACUUACACCAUCUUAGCAACAGCCAAGGCAGAAAGAAGAGAAGCAGGUUGAGGCCCCAUGCUCUCAAACCUCAGGAUCUGUGCUGAGAUCAGCGAGUCAGAGGCCCAUCGUGAAAUGCUAACACACCAUCACCACCCUCUGGAGGAAGCAGGCAGAUGGGAGAAGAAGGGCGAGGGUGAGAUGGGCCUGGGCUGGAGUUAUAGACACGGCCAGAGCAGCGGGCCACAGAGGUUCUACCAGAUUGGUUGGCUGGGGCAGGCUUUGUCCUGCAGAUGGGAGCACAUGCCAGGGAGUGUCGUGGCAAUUGGAAAGUACAAAUCACUGGGAUUCAAACUGCCUUGGUUCUGGGGAAGGAGGGGCUCAUGCAAUUUGCAAAGUGACCUAAACUGUCUCAGGCCCUCUGAGAUGUAUAAAACAGAGAUGACAAUGGUAGUCUCUUGGGGUCCUGAAACUGUAAGGGACUAAAUCAUGUGAAAAUCCUUUGUAAAGGAUUUACCCUCUUGUAGCCAUCCUUUUCAUUCUUGUUGUUUAUCCUCACUGUGUCACAGAGUAUGCCUUUUUCCAAACCCAUGUCUCAAUUUUGCCAUUAGAAACAUUUCCCAAACUUGGAUAAAGUGGAGGCAUCUGGGUUUGCCAUACUUCUGCUCCACAAACUCAUUCCUAGAACAGAGCCAAACAGAGGGCACAGUACAUUCUGGCAACAAGGAGGGUGCUUGAAAGGUAGACGUGUUUUUUUCCCAUUCCUCCAUGUCUUCACGUGAGGGCCUGCCUUCCAACAAUUCCAGAAAUUCUCUCCCUUCUGUCAGGCAUGUCAAAGGGCCUGGGACUUUAUAAUAUGAACCCUCUGAUGAACUGGUCCUCGGACUUUGGGAUUUGUUCGUUUCCAAGCUUUUGCUGCUUUUAUGAAUAUAAAACGUGGCUGGAGCUAGGAUUCAAAAGCGGGGAGAGAGGUUUGCUGGGCACUGGAAAUAAGAAAGGGUUCAACCCAUGAACAUUUCCUUUCAUGGGAUUCCAGCCAUCCUCGACACCCGGAGUGCCCUGGCGUAGCAGUCGGUAUGGAACAUCAGAUAGGAUAAUAGCCAGAGGCACAGGGGCUCCACAAAGCAGGUUACAUGAAAAUCAAAACAAAAGGUGAGUUGGGUAGAGUAUAGAGAAAAGAAUAUGUCAGAUGCAACGGGAAAAGUAUCUCUUCUGGGGAAGAAUGUCUGAUUCUAAUAGGUGCUGUCACUCAAACAGAUAAGCACAUACACCCUGCAAAAAACAGGAAAACGAUCAUUGGAAAAAGUCAGUUUAGUUCUCAGGAUCAUGCUGCUGGUAGGAAUCCUCUACCUCAAAAUCCAGGCUUAUUUCAACUCUACUGUAAUUGCUUCUAAGUCUGAAAAGUUAGCCGUGCACCGAAGAGGGAUUUAAACUAGGAAGAAAAUAGAUAUACUCAUUCGAUGGCUAAUCCUCCAGGGCCCCAAGUACAGGGCUUUUCAAACACAGCCAAGAAAAUCGGGGUAUAAUGCCACUUCAGGGACUCGUGGGAGGCAGUCAGUAGUGAGUGCCCAUUGAGGAGAGAGAGAAGGGGCAAGGAUGAGGGAGACUAACAGCAGGGAAUGCGGAUGGUGACGCCCAAACGAAUCACCCCUGCCUCUCCCUGCUCCACACUAAGCUUCCCAGGAACACGAAACAUCAAAACGUUCAAGAGGGAUAAUCAUAAAACUUUUCACAAAACUUGCCCUUUGACAAAGCACUUGCAGGUGUGUGAUUUGUUAAGCACUCACAACAACGCUGUGGGGAAGAUAUUACCCCAUUUUUCAGCUGCAGAAACGAAGGCCAGGGAGGUUGCAGGUCACAGAAGUAGUAAGAGGCAGGGUUUAGCCUGGAACACUUCCCAAUCCAGCAAAAUCUCCAUCACAUAUACCCCUUCCAAUUUCACAACCACUGUAAAUCCCCAAGCCAAGCUGAUUCUCUGCAAA